ACAGUUCCCCGNNNCCGGNAACAAGGAGCUGGUAUCAGGCCCAUCCAAUUCAGCCCACGACACCUUGCUUAGCCACACCCCCAAGGGAAUUCAGCAGUGAUAGACAUUAAGCCAUAAGUGAAAACUUGACUUAGUCAAAGCUAAGAGGGCCGGUAAAACUCGUGCCAGCCACCGCGGUUAUACGAGAGACCCAAGUUGAUAGACCUCGGCGUAAAGCGUGGUUAGGAAAGAACUAAAACUAAAGCCGAACACCUUCAGAACUGUUAUACGUAUCCGAAGGUAAGAAGUUCAACUACGAAAGUGGCUUUAUAGCCUCUGAACCCACGAAAG
RNAcentral lists this ribosomal RNA (330 nucleotides) under Nannoperca australis (Tasmanian pigmy perch). RNAcentral's name for it is "partial 12S ribosomal RNA". Lineage: Eukaryota; Metazoa; Chordata; Actinopteri; Centrarchiformes; Percichthyidae. The record is from RNAcentral.